Long non-coding RNA from Saccostrea cuccullata (small rock oyster), 727 nucleotides. RefSeq lists it as uncharacterized. The transcript is spliced from 5 exons. The record is from RefSeq and is a predicted model, not a curated record. Lineage: Eukaryota; Metazoa; Mollusca; Bivalvia; Ostreida; Ostreidae.
GGUCUGUAAGUCUCGUCACGUGACUCGCGAGAUUCUACGAUAAUUUUCACUUCCGGGUACCUGACAUGAGGAACUGUGUAUUUAGUUAAGCAUGUUUCUGGUUUAUACAAAGCUUUUGAGGAAAAGUUAAGUAGUUAUACAAAGCAGAACGGUUCUCCGACUUACGAUGGAUGAAUUGCGUGUCAUAAAAGCUUGGGUGCGAGUGUCCACCAGGAAAAAUUCGAUCGAAGUACAGAUUUUUCUCGAAUUCGAGGACGAUAUUGUUAUUAUCAGCUAAUUAUCAUGAUUAUAGAGGAGAAGUUUUGUCAGUGUCCGAUGGGUACAAACGUCAUAUUGUGGAGCCUGCAUGCAUCACUUUUGCAUCGCAGAAGUACAAGAGAACCAGGCAGUAACAAAGAUGAAAGAUGCUGUUGCUGAAAGAUCCAGUCAAGCACUAAACUGACAUUGAAUGAUCAGCCUCCUUAAAAUUGCAAAUCAAAUACAGGUUUUUGUCAGCUUAUCUGGAAAUCUUAGGACAUCACUGAUUUGAUCAAGAACUCAUCCAGCGUGAAGACCAGCCAUGUGCCUCACUUGUCAUGACAUUAUUAAAGCACUUUGUGACAGUGGGAAGAUGGGAUUUAAAACAUGACAUGGCUCUAUAUUAUUGCAUCAAAGACCAAUCCAGGUUUACGUAUAAAGUGAAGGAAAACAGUCAAGCAUCAUUUGGAGCCACGUGUACAUAUGUAAC